GCCUGGCUGCAAGCAAUCCAGGCACAACCUCACGUGGUACUCCACCAUGAAAUGGGGUUUCGGAGCACGGCGGCGGCGCCGCCUCUUUCCCCACCGCCUCCACCAUGAAAUGGGGUUUCGGAGCACGGCGGCGGCGCCGCCUCUUUCCCCACCGCCUCCACCAUGAAAUGGGGUUUCGGAGCACGGCGGCGGCGCCGCCUCUUUCCCCACCGCCGCCGUCGCCUGCAUGGUGGCCGACAAGCACGCCCCAAAUCUCGUUUCAUGGUGGAAUAUCUCGUGAUCUCGUGCUUUUUUUUCCCAGCCAAUGGCGUCGAAAAUCCAUAAACCCGUCGCCAAAUCGAAGGAGGCAAGACUGGGUUCUGGGAUUUCUUAGAUAUCUCACGGUCUGGACGGCCUGUAUUCUUGGAAUUCUAUGUGGAUCGGCUUCUGAACUCGACGAGAUCUGAGUCUCCUUCCCUGAAAUCCUUGCAUUCUCGAUCUCAGGUGCCUUCCAGCAUACCUAUUCCAUGACCUCUUUGCAGGUAUGUUCUUUUAGCUUGUGAAUUAAAGGACAGGUCUUGAGUUAACUUCUGUACAACUUGAGAUAUAUGGGCAUAUAUCUUUUAUGAUGAUUAGCAUCAAAGGAGCAUGUAUUAAAUACGGAUUUAAAACUUAUCUAAAAUUAUGUGGCAUCCUUAAAAAUAUACAAUAUGUGUGUCGAUUGCUGUUAAACAAGGUUUUAGAGAUACUGAAUGCACAUACAACAUGAUGAACAUGAUCAACAUCAUCAAGCGUUAUAUAGAUGGAAGAGGUUUGGAGAACUUCUAGAAAAAAGAAGUGUUCAACUUUGGGUACGUUCAGCCUAGUUUAUGCAUCAUGCUGCCAUGUUCCAUAUUAGCAUGUGUUGUAGUUUAUCAAACACAAUAUGUCAGUGGAUUCUUGACAGUGAGUGCUUUACAUGUGGGAAGAUUCCUCCCUACAACAUCUUCAGCAAACUCUGCAAUAUCUGGUUGAACGAUUCACAGUCCUUCAAUGCAUGCCAUGCAUAAUCUCAUCAAACGUUAUUCGGCUUUAGCACGCAUGUAGCGUUAGAAUAUAGCUUUCCAUCGAAAUUGUGUCAAGUUGAAUGGAUUCCCUUUCUUUCAGUUUUAGAACAGAUUGAAAAGGGAUGGUUUCUCCAAAAAGUAUCAGAAUCCAGAUGUUCUGUUUUUCCUUUUUCUGAACUGGUAGAUCUGUAAUCACUGAUACUGAACUUUGUUAUAAUCUAUUAUUGUAUAUAGCAACUGCAAGACACAAUUUGAAUUAAAUAUCAGUUUCUCCAUUCAUGUGCAACAUGAUGCAGAGAAGAUGUGCUAUUGAAGCAUGAAUUCGGAGCCAAUUUAAGCCCACUUCCUCUCUCAGUAGAACUUAUACAAUCUACUCAUUCACUGGUCCAUGCUGUCAGGAAUUGGAUCAAAGCCAUUAGUUCUCAAGGAAGUUACAUUUCCACAUCUCACACCCAGUUUGACAGAGAACUAGACCCGCUGAAUAUUUGGUGCUUUAUUUGCUCCAGAAGUGUUGGAAGUUGUUUGAAUGAUUUGUGCAGGCUGCUGCUUACUUGCUGCCUUCUUUUGCCAAAUGAUUUGUGUUAGCAAACUUUUGUGGGAAUUUUGUUCCUUGAUUUCUUGGGAACCUGUUAGGACCCAGACCUGUUGAUUCGAAGCUGAAAUGGCUCAUCUUAUGAUAGGUUUCAGGUCUCAGGGAAUUUUGUGGAGGAAAAACUACUACCUGCUUGUAAAAGAUGCAAUUUUUACCAAGGAUCAGGAUUCACCAGGCUCAUUGAUGCCCUGAUGUUGAAAUGCUUCAGAAGUAUUGGAGAUUGGAGAAUUGAUGAGUCAUAUUGUGAAUUUGUUUCUCAGACUGUUAGUUGCCAUAUGCGUGAAAGCAGUUUUAUGCUACUGUAGAUUUUGUGCUAUUGUACAAUUUUUCUCUGGCAUUAUUGCUUCAAUAAGAAUUCUCAGUUGCUUCUGCGAUGGGUGCGCUGAACUUUUGUCGAGUCAUAUACCAUUGAGAAUUAGGCAUCUGUGUUUUGUAAUAUUGUUAUUGAUUUAAAAAUCAAAUAUUUUGUCUUUUACCUUA
Long non-coding RNA from Elaeis guineensis (African oil palm), 2097 nucleotides. RefSeq lists it as uncharacterized. The record is from RefSeq and is a predicted model, not a curated record. Lineage: Eukaryota; Viridiplantae; Streptophyta; Magnoliopsida; Arecales; Arecaceae.